ACCCUCAGCCCAGCGCUCUGCGCAGCCGCGCACACGCACCCACGACCACGUCCCGGGCUCCAACCCACAGCGCCCGCCGCAGGCCCACAGCCGCCGAGCCCGAGUGGGCGGGGCGACGUCGCGCCUGCGCAUUGAUGGCUCCGCCCCCCGGCCGAAGCCUCGCCGCCGAAGCCCCGCCCCGCGCGCCUAACGGACCCCGCCCCGCCUGCCCUGCAGGCCCAGCCCUGCGCGCCUACAGUCCCCGCACCGCCGUCUAAGCCCCGCCCCGACUGGCACCGGACGGGGGACGGCCUCUCCCUCGUCCUGCGUUCCCUGAGGGUCUGGCGCCCCGGCUGUCGGGCGCAUCCCUCCAGGGCACAGUCACCCUAGCAAAGCCCACAUGUACCCUCGGAGAAUGCUUGGAGGAAAAUACGGCAUGUGCUGGUUUCAGCGUUGUGGGGCCUUCCCCUAGCAUCUCAGCCUCCUCUUCCAGCGAGAUGGCAUGUGCUGGUUUCCGCAUUGCGGGGCCCUUCCCCCAGCAUCUCAGCCUCCUCUUCCAGCGAGAUGGCAUGUGAUGGUUUCGGCCUUGCGGGGGCCUUCCCCCAGCAUCUCAGCCUCCUCUUCCAGCGAGAUGGCAUGUGCUGGUUUCCGCGUUGCGGGGCCCUUCCCCCAGCAUCUCAGCCUCCUCUUCCAGCGAGAUGGCAUGUGCUGGUUUCGGCGUUGCGGGGCCCUUCCCCCAGCAUCUCAGCCUCCUCUUCCAGCGAGGUGGCAUGUGCUGGUUUCGGCGUUGCGGGGCCCUUCCCCCAGCAUCUCAGCCUCCUCUUCCAGCGAGGUGGCAUGUGCUGGUUUCGGCGUUGCGGGGCCCUUCCCCCAGCAUCUCAGCCUCCUCUUCCAGUGAGGACUCUGGUCUACAGAUUGGUUUUCACCUGGACGGUGGGUGAGAGGCCGACUGUACCUCUUGAUGACCAAGCUCUUCCCAGGUUCUGUUAAUGCACUCCUCAAGGCAACAUCUUGAGACCCAUCAGCUCCUGUUAUGUUUGUGUCCCCCAGAAUUCGUAUGCGGAAGCUGUAACCCCCAAUAUGGCCGUAUUUGGAGAUGGGACUUCUGAAGAAGUAAUUAAGGUUAAAGUCAGUCACAAGGGUGGGGUCCUGAUCCGACAGGACAGGCAUCCGUAAAAUAAGAGACACCAGAGAGCUCCCUCUCCCAGUCAGUCACGUAGGCACAUAUGAGAAGGCAGUUUUCGCAACCCAAGGGAAGAGCCCUGGACAGGCACCAGACAACCCCAGCGCCUUAAUCUUGGACUUCCAAUCUCCAGAAAUAUGAGACAUUUUUCUUAAGCCUCCCA
This is a long non-coding RNA of Pongo pygmaeus (Bornean orangutan), 1325 nucleotides long. RefSeq lists it as uncharacterized. The record is from RefSeq and is a predicted model, not a curated record. NCBI's taxonomy places the organism in Eukaryota, Metazoa, Chordata, Mammalia, Primates, Hominidae. The transcript has 2 exons.